UACGGAGGAUCCGAGCGUUAUCCGGAUUUAUUGGGUUUAAAGGGUGCGCAGGCGGGAGAUUAAGUCGGCGGUGAAAUUUUGCAGCUUAACUGUAAAAGUGCCAUCGAUACUGGUUUCCUUGAGUGUAGAUGAAGUAGGCGGAAUUUGUGGUGUAGCGGUGAAAUGCAUAGAUAUCACGAGGAACUCCGAUUGCGAAGGCAGCUUACUAAGCUACUACUGACGCUCAGGCACGAAGGCGUGGGGAUCAAACAGGAUUAGAUACCCGGGUAGU
Molecule: ribosomal RNA, 271 nt
Filed under: uncultured prokaryote
Description: partial 16S ribosomal RNA
Rfam family: Bacterial small subunit ribosomal RNA
Source: RNAcentral